UCUAAGGGGUUCAAACAUUUUGUUUGGUAGCUGGUUCUAGUCACUUGUUUUUGCAGAGAUGAGUUUUGAUAUAUAUAUAUGUGUGUUUUGGACUGUGUUAUGAGCAUUGAUACUUGCAAAUGUCUGUGAGACACAAUUUUUUUUGGGGGGGCCAAGUGUUGUGUGGCGUAUCAGGCGUCGCAUGGAGCUACGGGGAUUCAGAGACUUGAUCAACCUCUUUCUUCCCUGAACCUUGUAUGUGAGGUGGCUUCUAAGUUGACUGUAGACUAGGUCUUCCUUUUUUUUUCUCAUUUGGGCCAGAUGUGUCAGUAUCAGACGUAUUAUAUGUUCUUUGCUAGUCCCGAGAUUCCAAUUAAUCAGGAUGUUGGUGAAUUUCAGGAGGGGAGAAUGUAACCAGGGUGAAAUUAUAUCUUUUCUUUUACGGUUGGAAUGUCACCAAAUCCUGAUGAACAUUGUUUUCUAUAUGUUUUAGAUGUGUUUUAUUACCAAGAUUUAUGCCUGUAUGUUGUAUUCAGACCAUAGUGUUAAUACCGGUACUGUCACUUUAAGAGGUCACAGGCUUUGUGGCGUCAUUCGCGUGCCUUUUUCAGUCUGCGCCAGGCUAAUUGAGAGGAGGUAAUGCAUCAUCUUGCUCGUCAGUUUUAAACACUUAUUUUGGUUUUUGGACGAUGCAAACUUUGAUUUAUGCAUUUAUAAAUGUUAGUUUUGAGGUUGUGAGCAUGCAGUUCAUGUGUCAAUUGAUUUAUAAACUUUGUAAAUGGACCUUUUGCAAGCUUUAAAAUAGACGUUUCCACGUGCUAGUCUACAGGGUUUUCUGUAUGUUUAUCUGCUAACAGGAGAUUGAGAUCUGUAUGCUACGUGGAGGAGACUGCAUGUGACAGAGCCUUAUGUAUUUUUUUGUUCAUUUGUACAGACAAAUCUGCUGUUCCGUCGUCAUCAAAAGAGCAAACGGCAAUUGG
Cyprinus carpio (common carp) is the source of this 959-nucleotide long non-coding RNA. RefSeq lists it as uncharacterized. The transcript has 2 exons. The record is from RefSeq and is a predicted model, not a curated record. Lineage: Eukaryota; Metazoa; Chordata; Actinopteri; Cypriniformes; Cyprinidae.